GAAAUGGCUUAGUGGGUAUAGCAUUUGCCUUGCAAGCACGAAGACCUGAGUUCAAAUCCCCAGAUUUCA
RNAcentral lists this transfer RNA (69 nucleotides) under Mesocricetus auratus (golden hamster). It matches the Rfam family "tRNA". Rfam says of the family: Transfer RNA (tRNA) molecules are approximately 80 nucleotides in length. Their secondary structure includes four short double-helical elements and three loops (D, anti-codon, and T loops). The record is from Rfam by way of RNAcentral. Lineage: Eukaryota; Metazoa; Chordata; Mammalia; Rodentia; Cricetidae.